Molecule: transfer RNA, 64 nt
Filed under: Scolytus seulensis
Lineage: Eukaryota; Metazoa; Arthropoda; Insecta; Coleoptera; Curculionidae
Description: tRNA-Glu
Rfam family: tRNA
About the family: Transfer RNA (tRNA) molecules are approximately 80 nucleotides in length. Their secondary structure includes four short double-helical elements and three loops (D, anti-codon, and T loops).
Source: RNAcentral
AUUUAUAUAGUUUAAUUAAAACAUUACACUUUCAUUGUAAAGUUGGGCCCCCCCCCUGUAAAUG